CGCGGCCUAUCAGCUUGUUGGUGAGGUAACGGCUCACCAAGGCAUCGACGGGUAGCUGGUCUGAGAGGACGAUCAGCCACACUGGGACUGAGACACGGCCCAGACUCCUACGGGAGGCAGCAGUAGGGAAUCUUGCGCAAUGGGCGAAAGCCUGACGCAGCAACGCCGCGUGGGGGAUGAAUGCCUUCGGGUUGUAAACCCCUUUCAGCAGGGACGAAAACGACGGUACCUGCAGAAGAAGCUCCGGCCAACUACGUGCCAGCAGCCGCGGUAAUACGUAGGGAGCGAGCGUUGUCCGGAAUUAUUGGGCGUAAAGAGCUCGUAGGCGGUUCAGUAAGUCGGGUGUGAAAACUCAAGGCUCAACCUUGAGACGCCACUCGAUACUGCUGUGACUUGAGUCCGGUAGAGGAGUGUGGAAUUCCUGGUGUAGCGGUGAAAUGCGCAGAUAUCAGGAGGAACACCAGCGGCGAAGGCGGCACUCUGGGCCGGUACUGACGCUGAGGAGCGAAAGCAUGGGGAGCAAACAGGAUUAGAUACCCUGGUAGUCCAUGCCGUAAACGUUGGGCACUAGGUAUGGGAUCAUAUCAACGGAUUCCGUGCCGUAGCUAACGCAUUAAGUGCCCCGCCUGGGGAGUACGG
This 639-nucleotide ribosomal RNA is filed under the name uncultured Actinomycetes bacterium. RNAcentral's name for it is "bacterial SSU rRNA". It matches the Rfam family "Bacterial small subunit ribosomal RNA", at positions 232 to 885 of the family's 1533-position model. Lineage: Bacteria; Bacillati; Actinomycetota; Actinomycetes. The record is from RNAcentral.